This 276-nucleotide long non-coding RNA is filed under the name Phoenix dactylifera (date palm). RNAcentral's name for it is "long non-coding RNA (PDAC_LNC013002)". Lineage: Eukaryota; Viridiplantae; Streptophyta; Magnoliopsida; Arecales; Arecaceae. The record is from RNAcentral.
UAGGUUUGUUGGUGAGCCGAGGGUAAAACCAACGUGUAAGGGUUCGAUUGUGAUCCCGGGAAAACAAUCGGGGUGGUUCUAGUCGGUGAGCCUGGGAAAACCGACCGAGUUCGUUGUGCGCUCGUAAAACAACAAGUUGGGUUGUGAGCUUGUAAAACAACCGGCUGUAAUCUGUAGGAUUAUAGUGAAAUUUCCAAGAGGUCUUGGGGAGUGGAUGUAGGUGCUGGGGUGCACCGAACCACUAUAUGCUUGUUGUGUUUGUAAUGCUUCUUGUCA